RNAcentral lists this ribosomal RNA (253 nucleotides) under uncultured bacterium. Its description in RNAcentral is "partial 16S ribosomal RNA". It matches the Rfam family "Bacterial small subunit ribosomal RNA", at positions 524 to 776 of the family's 1533-position model. The record is from RNAcentral.
UACGUAGGGACCAAGCGUUGUUCGGAUUUACUGGGCGUAAAGGGCGCGUAGGCGGCAAUUCAAGUCAGCUGUGAAAUCUCCGGGCUUAACUCGGAACGGUCAGCUGAUACUGCUUUGCUAGAGUGCGGAAGGGGCAAUCGGAAUUCUCGGUGUAGCGGCGAAAUGCGUAGAUAUCGAGAGGAACACCUGAGGUGAAGACGGGUUGCUGGGCCGACACUGACGCUGAGGCGCGAAAGCCAGGGUAGCAAACGGG